CCUACGGGAGACAGCAGUGGGGAAUAUUGGGCAAUGGGCGCAAGCCUGACCCAGCCACGCCGCGUGAAGGAAGACUGCUCUCUGGUUGUUAACUUCUUUUGUCAGGGAAGAGUAGCAGACUGUACCUGACCAAUCAGCUACGGCUAACUACGUGCCAGCAGCCGCGGUCCUACGUAGGUGGCAAGCGUUGUCCGGAUUUACUGGGUGUAAAGGGCGUGUAGCCGGGUUGACAAGUCAGAUGUGAAAUCCUGCGGCUUAACCGCAGAACUGCAGUUGAAACUGUUGUUCUGGAGUACGGGAGAGGCAGACGGAAUUCGUGGUGUAGCGGUGAAAUGCGUAGAUAUUAGGAAGAACACCAGUGGCGAAGGCAGUAUACUGGAGAGCAACUGACGGUGAGGCGCGAAAGCGUGGGGAGCAAACAGGAUUAGAUACCCGGGUAGUC
This 442-nucleotide ribosomal RNA is filed under the name uncultured bacterium. Its description in RNAcentral is "partial 16S ribosomal RNA". It matches the Rfam family "Bacterial small subunit ribosomal RNA", at positions 338 to 795 of the family's 1533-position model. The record is from RNAcentral.